RNAcentral lists this ribosomal RNA (1515 nucleotides) under Enterococcus villorum. RNAcentral's name for it is "bacterial LSU rRNA". It matches the Rfam family "Bacterial large subunit ribosomal RNA", at positions 1 to 1510 of the family's 2925-position model. Lineage: Bacteria; Bacillati; Bacillota; Bacilli; Lactobacillales; Enterococcaceae. The record is from RNAcentral.
GUUGAUAAGGUUAAGUGAAUAAGGGCGCACGGUGGAUGCCUUGGCACUAGGAGCCGAUGAAGGACGGGACUAACACCGAUAUGCUUUGGGGAGCUGUACGUAAGCUAUGAUCCAGAGAUUUCCGAAUGGGGGAACCCAGCAUCUUUGAUAGGAUGUUACGUUUGCGUGAAUACAUAGCGCAAUCGAGGUAGACGCAGAGAACUGAAACAUCUAAGUACCUGCAGGAAGAGAAAGAAAAUUCGAUUCCCUGAGUAGCGGCGAGCGAAACGGGAAAAGCCCAAACCAAUGAGCUUGCUCAUUGGGGUUGUAGGACUCCGAUCUGGUAGUUCUUUCAGAUAGUCGAAUGACUUGGAAAAGUCAGUCAAAGAGGGUAAAAACCCCGUAGACGAAAUUUGGAAGGCACCUAGGAGGAUCCUGAGUACGGCGGAACACGAGGAAUUCCGUCGGAAUCCGGGAGGACCAUCUCCCAAGGCUAAAUACUCCCUAGUGACCGAUAGUGAACCAGUACCGUGAGGGAAAGGUGAAAAGCACCCCGGAAGGGGAGUGAAAUAGAACCUGAAACCGUGUGCCUACAACAAGUCAAAGCCCGUUAAUGGGUGAUGGCGUGCCUUUUGUAGAAUGAACCGGCGAGUUACGAUUGCAUGCGAGGUUAAGUUGAAGAGACGGAGCCGCAGCGAAAGCGAGUCUGAAUAGGGCGUUUGAGUAUGUAGUCGUAGACCCGAAACCAUGUGAUCUACCCAUGUCCAGGUUGAAGGUGCGGUAAAACGCACUGGAGGACCGAACCCACGUACGUUGAAAAGUGCGGGGAUGAGGUGUGGGUAGCGGAGAAAUUCCAAACGAACUUGGAGAUAGCUGGUUCUCUCCGAAAUAGCUUUAGGGCUAGCCUCGAAAUUGAGAAUGAUGGAGGUAGAGCACUGUUUGGACUAGGGGCCCAUCUCGGGUUACCGAAUUCAGAUAAACUCCGAAUGCCAUUCAUUCAUAUUCGGGAGUCAGACUGUGAGUGAUAAGAUCCAUAGUCGAAAGGGAAACAGCCCAGACCACCAGCUAAGGUCCCAAAAUAUAUGUUAAGUGGAAAAGGAUGUGGGGUUGCACAGACAACUAGGAUGUUGGCUUAGAAGCAGCCACCAUUUAAAGAGUGCGUAAUAGCUCACUAGUCGAGUGACCCUGCGCCGAAAAUGUACCGGGGCUAAACAUAUUACCGAAGCUGUGGAGUACACCAUUAGGUGUAUUGGUAGGAGAGCGUUCUAAGGGCGUUGAAGGCAGAUCGUGAGGACUGCUGGAGCGCUUAGAAGUGAGAAUGCCGGUAUGAGUAGCGAAAGACAGGUGAGAAUCCUGUCCACCGAAUGACUAAGGUUUCCUGGGGAAGGCUCGUCCGCCCAGGGUUAGUCGGGACCUAAGCCGAGGCCGACAGGCGUAGGCGAUGGACAACAGGUUGAUAUUCCUGUACUCGUUGUUUUUGUUUGAGCAAUGGAGGGACGCAGGAGGCUAAGGAAUGCAGACGAUUGGAAAUGUCUG